UACGUAGGGGGCGAGCGUUGUCCGGAAUUACUGGGCGUAAAGGGUGCGUAGGCGGCCUUUUAAGUCAGAUGUGAAAUACCACGGCUCAACCGUGGGGUUGCAUUUGAAACUGGGAGGCUUGAGUGCAGGAGAGGGAAGUGGAAUUCCUAGUGUAGCGGUGAAAUGCGUAGAGAUUAGGAGGAACACCAGUGGCGAAGGCGGCUUCCUGGACUGUAACUGACGCUGAGGCACGAAAGCGUGGUUAGCGAACAGGGUUAGAUACCCUGGUAGUCCACGCCGUAAACGAUGGAUACUAGGUGUAGGGGGUAUCGACCCCCCCUGUGCCGGAGUUAACGCAAUAAGUAUCCCGCCUGGGGAGUACGGCCGCAAGGCUGAA
This 376-nucleotide ribosomal RNA is filed under the name uncultured bacterium. RNAcentral's name for it is "bacterial SSU rRNA". It matches the Rfam family "Bacterial small subunit ribosomal RNA", at positions 524 to 898 of the family's 1533-position model. The record is from RNAcentral.